UACGUAGGGUGCGAGCGUUGUCCGGAAUUAUUGGGCGUAAAGGGCUCGUAGGCGGUUUGUCGCGUCGGGAGUGAAAACUCAGGGCUUAACCCUGAGCCUGCUUCCGAUACGGGCAGACUAGAGGUAUGCAGGGGAGAACGGAAUUCCUGGUGUAGCGGUGAAAUGCGCAGAUAUCAGGAGGAACACCGGUGGCGAAGGCGGUUCUCUGGGCAUUACCUGACGUGAGGAGCGAAAGUGUGGGGAGCGAACAGG
Molecule: ribosomal RNA, 252 nt
Filed under: uncultured bacterium
Lineage: Bacteria
Description: partial 16S ribosomal RNA
Rfam family: Bacterial small subunit ribosomal RNA
Source: RNAcentral